This 266-nucleotide unclassified non-coding RNA is filed under the name air metagenome. Its description in RNAcentral is "partial contains small subunit ribosomal RNA, internal transcribed spacer 1, and 5.8S ribosomal RNA". The stretch from base 1 to 46 matches the Rfam family "Eukaryotic small subunit ribosomal RNA", at positions 1786 to 1831 of the family's 1831-position model. The record is from RNAcentral.
AAGUCGUAACAAGGUUUCCGUAGGUGAACCUGCGGAAGGAUCAUUAAUGAACUUUGUUAGUGAGUUGAUGCUGGUGGGGGUUAAAUCCACAUGUGCUCGCUCCUACACCUUCUUAUCCAUACACCUGUGCACCUCUGAGGGUUCGAGAUGGUUUCGAAAGGAACCUGAUCGGCCUUCUCUUACAAACACUAUUUUGAUUUAUGAACGUGAUUGUGCCGCAAGGCCAUAAACUUAUACAACUUUUAACAACGGAUCUCUUGGCUCUC